RNAcentral lists this ribosomal RNA (320 nucleotides) under uncultured bacterium. RNAcentral describes it as "bacterial SSU rRNA". It matches the Rfam family "Bacterial small subunit ribosomal RNA", at positions 470 to 789 of the family's 1533-position model. The record is from RNAcentral.
UGACGGUACCUGACUAAGAAGCCCCGGCUAACUACGUGCCAGCAGCCGCGGUAAUACGUAUGGAGCAAGCGUUAUCCGGAUUUACUGGGUGUAAAGGGAGCGCAGGCGGUUUUGUAAGUUGGGUGUGAAAACCCGGGGCUCAACCCCGGGACUGCACCCAAAACUGCAGGACUAGAGUGUCGGAGGGGCAAGCGGAAUUCCUAGUGUAGCGGUGAAAUGCGUAGAUAUUAGGAGGAACACCGGUGGCGAAGGCGGCUUGCUGGACGAUAACUGACGCUGAGGCUCGAAAGCGUGGGGAGCAAACAGGAUUAGAUACCCUG